Molecule: ribosomal RNA, 513 nt
Filed under: uncultured Streptococcus sp.
Lineage: Bacteria; Bacillati; Bacillota; Bacilli; Lactobacillales; Streptococcaceae
Description: bacterial SSU rRNA
Rfam family: Bacterial small subunit ribosomal RNA
Source: RNAcentral
CGGUCGGCGUAGCCUAAUACACUGCAAUGGGACGCAAGGAAAACACACUGUGCUUUGCACACCGUGUUUUCUUUCGAGUCGCGAACGGGGUGAGUAAACGCGUAGGGUAAACCUUGACCUAUUAGUCGGGGGAGUAACUAAUUGGUAAACGAUAGCUAAUACCGCAUAAUAUUAAUUAUUGCAUGAUAAUUGAUUGAAAGAUGCAAGCGCAUCACUAGUAGAUGGACCUGGCGUUGUAUUAGCUAGUUGGUAAGGUAAGAGCUUACCAAGGCGACGAUACAUAGCCGACCUGAGAGGGUGAUCGGCCACACUGGGACUGAGACACGGCCCAGACUCCUACGGGAGGCAGCAGUAGGGAAUCUUCGGCAAUGGACGAAAGUCUGACCGAGCAACGCCGCGUGAGUGAAGAAGGUCUUCGGAUCGUAAAGCUCUGUUGUAAGUCAAGAACGUGUGUGAGAGUGGAAAGUUCACACAGUGACGGUAGCUUACCAGAAAGGGACGGCUAACUACGUG